Cervus hanglu yarkandensis (Yarkand deer) is the source of this 108-nucleotide small nuclear RNA. The record is from Ensembl. NCBI's taxonomy places the organism in Eukaryota, Metazoa, Chordata, Mammalia, Artiodactyla, Cervidae.
AUGCUGGAUUCCACAGCACACAAACUAAAAAUUAGAAUGAUACAGAAAAGAUGAGUAUGGCCCCUGAGUAAGGAUAAUGUGCAAAUUUAUGAACUGUUUCAUAUUUUG